This 254-nucleotide ribosomal RNA is filed under the name uncultured bacterium. RNAcentral's name for it is "partial 16S ribosomal RNA". It matches the Rfam family "Bacterial small subunit ribosomal RNA", at positions 524 to 776 of the family's 1533-position model. The record is from RNAcentral.
UACGUAGGGUGCGAGCGUUAAUCGGAAUUACUGGGCGUAAAGCGUGCGCAGGCGGUUAUUUAAGUCAGGUGUGAAAGCCCUGGGCUUAACCUAGGAAUUGCGCUUGAGACUGGAUAGCUUGGAGUGCGGCAGAGGGAGGUGGAAUUCCACGUGUAGCAGUGAAAUGCGUAGAUAUGUGGAGGAAUACCGAUGGCGAAGGCAGCCCCCUGGGAUAACACUGACGCUCAUGCACGAAAGCGUGGGGAGCAAACAGG